This 459-nucleotide ribosomal RNA is filed under the name uncultured bacterium. RNAcentral describes it as "partial 16S ribosomal RNA". It matches the Rfam family "Bacterial small subunit ribosomal RNA", at positions 338 to 795 of the family's 1533-position model. The record is from RNAcentral.
CCUACGGUGGGCAGCAGUGAGGAAUAUUGGUCAAUGGUCGGGAGACUGAACCAGCCAAGCCGCGUGAGGGAUGAAGGUACAGAGUAUCGUAAACCUCUUUUGUCAGGGAACAAAGUCUUGCACGCGUCCCCUGAUGCGUGUACCUUAAGAAAAAGCAUCGGCUAACUCCGUGCCAGCAGCCGCGGUAAUACGGAGGAUGCGAGCGUUAUCCGAUUUUAUUGGGGUUACGGGGGGCGCGGGUGGGCCUUUAGGCCGGGGGUGAAAUCGGGGGCCUCACCCCCGCCGAGCCGUCGGAACUGGGAGCCUUGAGUACAGCAGAGGCGGGCGGAAUGCGCGGUGUAGCGGUGAAAUGCAUAGAUAUCGCGCAGAACCCCGAUUGCGAAGGCAGCGUGCCGGGCCGCAACUGACGCUGAGGCACGAAAGCGCGGGGAUCGAACAGGAUUAGAUACCCUAGUAGUC